AUACGAAUGGUGCUAGCGUUGUUCGGAAUCACUGGGCAUAAAGGGCACGUAGGCGGUUUGGUCAGUCAGCUGUGAAAUCCCCCGGCUCAACCGAGGAACUGCAGCUGAUACUGCCAAACUGGAGUGCGCGAGGGGAGAGCGGAAUUCCUGGUGGAGCGGUGAUAUGCGUAGAUAUCAGGAGGAACGCCGGAGGCGAAAGCGGCUCUCUGGUGCGCAACUGACGCUGAGGUGCGAAAGCUAGGGGAGCGAACAGGAUUAGAAACCCCAGUAGUCC
RNAcentral lists this ribosomal RNA (274 nucleotides) under uncultured bacterium. RNAcentral's name for it is "partial 16S ribosomal RNA". It matches the Rfam family "Bacterial small subunit ribosomal RNA", at positions 523 to 796 of the family's 1533-position model. The record is from RNAcentral.